AUAAAACAAAAAAAAAAAAUAAAGCUUAAAACGAAACAAUAAAAUUGCAAAUCAAAUUAAAAACAAGCACAAAAUUGAGUAUACGACGCAUAUUCCAAGCUGCAGAAAAUUGCCAGCGACGACGACAACAGCAACAACUGGCUGCAACUGGACACAGGUGUAUCUACACCCAGAAACCUAAGCUAAACAAAAAAUUAAAACUAAACUCGCAAAACAAAUAAGCAAGUGUGCGUAAAAAGGUUUAGCUUCAAUGCAAGUGUUAGAAAGUUCGUUAACAAGUGUUGGAAAACUGUAAAACCAAAUUAAAACAAAUAUUCUAAAAGAAACACGCACAAAAACAACAACAACUAGCAAUAGUUUCAGCUGCAAGUCAUUAAAACAAGUGUUGGAAAAAGCUAAAAAAUACAUUGAAAAAUAUCCAAGAUCCUUAACACAAUAUCCGGCAGCUACCAACAACAGGAAAGAGCAAUUGUUGCUGAACAAUUCUAAAAAAAAGGUAUUGCAAUUCAAGUAUUCAC
Drosophila virilis is the source of this 518-nucleotide non-coding RNA. The record is from RefSeq and is a predicted model, not a curated record. Lineage: Eukaryota; Metazoa; Arthropoda; Insecta; Diptera; Drosophilidae.